CCCUUAGAUGUCCUGGGCCGCACGCGCGCUACACUGACAUGUUCAACAAGCCUCCUAGUUCGACAGGAUUUGGGAAAUCUUUGAACGCAUGUCGUGAUAGGGAUAGAUCAUUGCAAUUAUUGAUCUUGAACGAGGAAUUCCUAGUAAACGCUAGUCAUCAGCUCGCAUUGAUUACGUCCCUGCCCUUUGUACACACCGCCCGUCGCACCUACCGAUUGGAUGGUCCGGUGAAGCCUCGGGAUUGUGGUUCUUGCCGCUUUAUUGUGGCGUGACCGCGAGAACUUGUCUAAACCUUAUCAUCUAGAGGAAGGUGAAGUCGUAACA
This 324-nucleotide ribosomal RNA is filed under the name uncultured eukaryote. RNAcentral describes it as "partial 18S ribosomal RNA". It matches the Rfam family "Eukaryotic small subunit ribosomal RNA", at positions 1470 to 1796 of the family's 1831-position model. The record is from RNAcentral.